Small nucleolar RNA from Ornithorhynchus anatinus (platypus), 138 nucleotides. NCBI's taxonomy places the organism in Eukaryota, Metazoa, Chordata, Mammalia, Monotremata, Ornithorhynchidae. The record is from RefSeq and is a predicted model, not a curated record.
CCCCUCUCAGGGUCGCUCCUGAAGAGUUUCCAACACUCUACCAGUCUCCGCUAAGGGAGGGAGAGUCAAGCAGAGGCCUACCCAUUCCAUUCCUAGCUGGACCAGCGACUAGAGAGUGGAAGGCAAUCUGCUACAAGU